AAGAGCUUACUUCAUAGGAUCAUUUCUAUAGUAAACUUCACUAAUAGGACUCACAUCAUAUGUGAGACCUAUCCCGUCAUGUUAAGAGAUAUGGCGCGGUGCUCUGAGCGUGAGACGGACGGUGACCUCUAAGGUCAUCAGUUUUCGAUGAUCGUUCACUUGACCCCGCGGGGGUCGGACGUGAGAUGCUGUCGCUAUCUCAUUGGC
This is a small nucleolar RNA of Bicyclus anynana (squinting bush brown), 207 nucleotides long. RefSeq annotates it as small nucleolar RNA U3. The transcript has a single exon. The record is from RefSeq and is a predicted model, not a curated record. Lineage: Eukaryota; Metazoa; Arthropoda; Insecta; Lepidoptera; Nymphalidae.